This 57-nucleotide transfer RNA is filed under the name Bos taurus (domestic cattle). It matches the Rfam family "tRNA", at positions 8 to 63 of the family's 71-position model. Rfam says of the family: Transfer RNA (tRNA) molecules are approximately 80 nucleotides in length. Lineage: Eukaryota; Metazoa; Chordata; Mammalia; Artiodactyla; Bovidae. RNAcentral also lists the same sequence under 4 other names. The record is from Rfam by way of RNAcentral.
UAGCUCAGUUGGUAAAGAGUCUGCCUGCAAUGCAGGAAACCCAGGUUUGAUUCCUGG